This 492-nucleotide ribosomal RNA is filed under the name uncultured Entrophospora. RNAcentral describes it as "SSU rRNA". It matches the Rfam family "Eukaryotic small subunit ribosomal RNA", at positions 569 to 1058 of the family's 1831-position model. The record is from RNAcentral. Lineage: Eukaryota; Fungi; Glomeromycota; Glomeromycetes; Entrophosporales; Entrophosporaceae.
AGCAGCCGCGGUAAUUCCAGCUCCAAUAGCGUAUAUUAAAGUUGUUGCAGUUAAAAAGCUCGUAGUUGAAUUUCGGGAUUGACGUGAUGGUCAUGCCUUAAGGGGUAUGAACUGUUACAGUUGAUUUCUCACCUUCUGGAGAAACUUGAUGUCCUUUAUUGGGUGUCUUGCGGAUCCAGGACCUUUACCUUGAAAAAAUUAGAGUGUUUAAAGCAGGCAUUUUUGCUCGAAUACAUUAGCAUGGAAUAAUAGAAUAGGACGGCAUGGUUCUAUUUUGUUGGUUUCUAGGAUCACCGUAAUGAUUAAUAGGGAUAGUUGGGGGCAUUAGUAUUCAAUUGUCAGAGGUGAAAUUCUUGGAUUUAUUGAAGACUAACUACUGCGAAAGCAUUUGCCAAGGAUGUUUUCAUUAAUCAAGAACGAAAGUUAGGGGAUCGAAGACGAUCAGAUACCGUCGUAGUCUUAACCAUAAACUAUGCCGACUAGGAAUCAGAC